AUGGAACCCUAUGUUGGCAUGAGGUUUGACAGCCUUCAAAUUUCUAAGGAUCACUACAACAGCUACGCACUACGGAUGGGUUUCUCUAUCAAGAUGAACACCUCUAGACGGAGAGCCCGCACCAAUGAAUUGAUAAAACAACAGUUUUGCUGCAACAAGUUCAAGAAGCCCAAAGCUGAUGAUGGAGGAGCUGAGGCUCCUCCUGUCCUGGACCCUAUUCCAGAUCCAAAAUCUGUUAACAGUGAUGAGGAGAUGGAAGAAGAACCUCCAAUAUUUGCUAAAGAGGAGGCUGGUACUAGUAAGAAGAAGAAGAAGCGCAAACGCGAGACAAUAAAGCAGACUGAAUGCAAGGCGAAAAUGUUGGUGAAGCUGAUAGAUGGGCGAUGGGAGGUGACGCACUUUGUUCGUGAUCACAAUCAUCCGCUCGUGAACAAACCUUCAUUGUCCAAAUACUUGAGAUCCCACCAAGGCAUCUCACCUGAUGAAAAGGAGUCUCUGCGCAUCUUGUAUAACUGCAACUUGACUACAGGCGACUACAAUCCAAGUACCAUGACAGGCCGUGCUACUGAAGGUGAUCGUGCCGGUCCUACUGCCCCGUUGGAGGCUGCAUCCCUUGCACAAGCUUCUGAUGAUUUUGUGCCCAGGGAUCCUCCAAGGUCUACUACAAAGGGUAGGGCAAAGAGUCGACGGUACAAAUCGGCGCUGGAGCUACACCCAAAGAAGAAAAACAAAUGCAGCCAGUGCCAAUCUAUAGAGCACACUGCUGGUGUGUGUCCACUCAGGCUCCUAUGA
RNAcentral lists this ribosomal RNA (792 nucleotides) under Triticum aestivum (bread wheat). Its description in RNAcentral is "partial small subunit ribosomal RNA". Lineage: Eukaryota; Viridiplantae; Streptophyta; Magnoliopsida; Poales; Poaceae. The record is from RNAcentral.